CCUACGGGAGGCAGCAGUGGGGAAUUUUGGACAAUGGGCGCAAGCCUGAUCCAGCCAUGCCGCGUGUGUGAAGAAGGCCUUCGGGUUGUAAAGCACUUUCGGCCGGAACGAAAUCGCGCGGGCUAUUACCCCGCGUGGAUGACGGUACCGGAAGAAGAAGCACCGGCUAACUACGUGCCAGCAGCCGCGGUAAUACGUAGGGUGCGAGCGUUAAUCGGAAUUACUGGGCGUAAAGGGUGCGCAGGCGGCGUCGCAAGUCAGGCGUGAAAUCCCCGGGCUUAACCUGGGAAUUGCACUUGAAACUACGAUGCUGGAGUAUGGCAGAGGGAGGUGGAAUUCCACGUGUAGCGGUGAAAUGCGUAGAGAUGUGGAGGAACACCGAUGGCGAAGGCAGCCUCCUGGGCCAAUACUGACGCUCAUGCACGAAAGCGUGGGGAGCAAACAGGAUUAGAUACCCUGGUAGUCCACGCCCUAAACGAUGACGACUAGUUGUUGGAGGAGUUAAAUCCUUUAGUAACGCAGCUAACGCGAGAAGUCAUCCGCCUGGGGAGUACGGUCGCAAGAUUAAAACUCAAAGGAAUUGACGG
RNAcentral lists this ribosomal RNA (587 nucleotides) under uncultured bacterium. RNAcentral's name for it is "bacterial SSU rRNA". It matches the Rfam family "Bacterial small subunit ribosomal RNA", at positions 338 to 916 of the family's 1533-position model. The record is from RNAcentral.